CAGCGUUCCGGAUCCUAGACGCUUUUUGACGGCUGGUGCUCCCCAGAAAAUGCGCCGUGUGAGCCCAAACAUGGUGGGGUAGAUCCAGUACGCUGGACCCCGAGCUUGCAGUCUGUGCUUCACAAAACACCAACAUCGUGUGCCCGUCUCCUCCCCCCGAGAUCGAGUAGUAACAGCCAUUCCAACUCUCCACCUCCAGCUUCUAGCACCAGGGACCGCCUCCACCACCCCAUGUGCCAAGUGGAGUUCGAGCUGGCGCGCGCGGCCCUCAAGCAGCUGAAGGGUCCCGUGAGCGAGCAGGAGAAGCUGCUGGUCUAUGGCUUGUACAAACAGGCCACCCAGGGCGACUGCGACAUCCCCGCCCCUCCGGCCUCAGACGUGAAAGCCAGGGCCAAGUGGGAGGCUUGGGGCGCGAACAAAGGGAUGUCCAAGAUGGACGCCAUGAGGGGCUACGCGGCCAGAGUGGAGGAGCUGACGAAGAAGGAAGUGGGGGGCAUGGAGCGCGAACAAAGGGGCGUCCAAGAUGGACGCCAUGAGGGGCCACGUGGCCAGAGUGAGGAGAUGAGGAAGAAGGCGGCUGGCUGAGGGCUCCUUGGGAAUGGAAAGGGCUUCCUAGACCUUGAUGGCUGAAAUGUCCUGAAACUGUCGCAAGCUUAGCCGAGACAUCAAUAAAUCACUUAAAGUGCAUGAGAGUGACCGACUGCUGUUGGAAAGGAGAAACUCGGUGACUGAGUGCUGGGGAAGCGUCCAAAUACACAGACUUGCUUUUUGUAUGGUUUUGGGUGGAGUUCCCAGCCCUCCUAUUACAAGAGCGUAUGUAGGUAUUUGGAAGGACCAGGGGGACAGUGGGCUGUGGAAAUGCCCAAGAUCUGAGGGCAGGAGACCAUUCUCCAGUGACAGCCUCUUGGGAGGCUGAGGCCCCAGCCCCUUAUCUCUUCAAGGCUGAUUCACUAAUACCCCAGCACCACAGAGGGGAGAGGGACUCUGUCCUCCCUAAACACUAAAGUCAAGUCCAAAAGCCCCACUGGAACACAGGGCCUACUGAGUUCAUGUUUUGAGGGAGACCAAGCUUUCCGUGAUGAUAGUGCGGUGAAACAGUUGAUGCCUCAGAACACAGCAGUGGAGAAACAAUGGAGCAGAUGGUGUCAAAAUCCCAGCCCCAGAAAGGCUCACCUAAGGCCGGGCAACCAAAAUGUUCUCGGGACUAUUCUGUACUUAACCCUGGUUUCUGCUUAGGGGACGGUGGGACAAUAUGCAUAUGGAUGUCUAUGUGGGAUUUGUUGCAAGAGCACAACACACCCCUUGACCUAUGCAAGUGCCAGAGUGUCUGAGCCCAGCUUCUACUCCUGUUAAUGAUCACGGGGGCCUCAAUACACAACCAUUGUGCAUGGUGGCUGGAGUAUGGAGUAGUAAAAGGUAUCCAGAAAGGCAGGUGUACAGUGGCAUAUGGGAUUUCCUGGUACUUCUUUAAUAGGAACUAUCUUCACAGAUCAGGAUAUCAGGUCAGCUCCAGUUCUUGCUGGGACCAAUAAACAAUAGAAGCAACCACCAUAGAGACUGAAGAGGACAAAGGAAACCAAACCUCACUGUGUGUCUUCAAGAUCUUCUGUUCACAUAGUUGCAGGAAGUUGCUGUAGACAAAGUAUGAAGAAUGAAGCCCACCCAGGACAUCACAGCAACGAAAGAACUAUUUCUGGUAACUGUAGACCAGGUGAGAGCCACACUGUAGAACAGCAGUGCUGCCCUCUCUUCUUUGGCGAAUGUUAUGAAGACAUUCUGAUGCACUGAGGAUCAUGAUUCAUGUUAAAUGUAAAUUAAUCGUAAAAAUAACACAUCUUGCUCCAAAAUGUGACAAUUUAGAAGCUGUCUAUAUAGCCAGACCACUCUAAAUCACAGAACCUAGAAAGUAAAAAUGUGCCAUAAUUAGGACAGCAGAAAGUAACAGUAAAGUAAAGUUUUAAAAAAGAGAGAAAAUAAGGAUUUAUCUAUUUGUAUUUGCUUAAGAAGGGGUUACCUAUAGGAUGCAGGGGGAAUGGGAUUGAUGGGCAUGGGGUAUACUGUGAAAGGAAAAUCUUGGGACCAAAUUCACUAAGCCAAAAGGAAAAGUUAAGCUUGGAAAUUGAGUUAUGGAAUAUGCAAAAAACUUUUCCUUUUGUUCCUAAACAGAUAAGCUACAAGACAGAAGGCCACAUAUCUCCCCAGGUGGUCUCCCUCACCUGACAAUAUAAAUUAACAGCUUAUCUUCAUAGGUAAGGGACAAAGACAACACCAGAAACCAUCCCUCACCAGCCCUGACACAAAACGUAGAUUUACUGAGCUGAAUGCAUAACUGUUCCUCUGCCCGCUGCUUUCACUGUAACAUAUAGAUUUGGUGAGCACUAAAUGUAGAUUUACUG
Molecule: small RNA, 2396 nt
Filed under: Pongo abelii (Sumatran orangutan)
Lineage: Eukaryota; Metazoa; Chordata; Mammalia; Primates; Hominidae
Description: processed transcript
Source: RNAcentral